Long non-coding RNA from Tachysurus fulvidraco (yellow catfish), 686 nucleotides. RefSeq lists it as uncharacterized. NCBI's taxonomy places the organism in Eukaryota, Metazoa, Chordata, Actinopteri, Siluriformes, Bagridae. The record is from RefSeq and is a predicted model, not a curated record. The transcript has 3 exons.
AGGAGCCCCAGUUAGCAUGCUUUGACUUUUGAGCAUGGAACUGGUGGUUUGUUCUUAUUUGAUAUUAAUAAGAUUAAUUCUGAUUGACUUUUAAUCCAUUUUAACUGAGAUUCUCUUUAACUGUAUUUCUAAUGUGUACACGUUCAAGGUUUUAUCCUCUUCUGGAUGUACUAGGAAAAAGAUGUCUUUGGCUUCAGCUUCCUUGAUAAGCUGCAGAUCUUCUACAAUGGGUUCUGGUGUAGAUCUUGGGAUCUUGGGAACACUGGUCAUGAGGUGGAAACUGAGAGGAAACCAGCAUGAAUUAAAGGCGAACACUACACAAUACACAAAGCUAAUUUAGUGGGCAUUGGAGAGAAGCGGUUAUGGUGUGUGGACACUUGUCUAAGUUUGAUUUCCAGGACAAAGGACUGCAGGAUGAUUUCGUGCUGAGUUUGAUAUUCUGUACAGUCUGGUCUAAAACUGAUGGGGGUUGCAGCUGCACCCCUUCCCUCUCCUCUGGGAUGAUGAUGUCAUGGUCUGGAAGAGUGGAGAGAUUAUUACAAACUGUGGCCAGAAGUCACUCACUUCUUUGUGUUCAUAAGAUUUCACAUAUAAAAUAUUUUGUUCUUUCCAGGUUUGUUGUAGUUUUCUGUCAAGUUGAGCAGCAGAACUGAUUAAUUAUGGUUCUUUGAACGUUCUACCUCAAU